AAUUUCCAACCAAGUACUUAGUGACGAGCAUUCAACGUGUGCUUAUCUGCUUGUUUUUUUGUAUUUCUUGGUACUUAACGAUCAAUAUUAUCUUGAAGAUCGUUCCAGAACCUAUCGGUCACCAUUGUGGCUCCUUCAGAGGAGUAAUACUAUACACCCCUACUCUUCAGUUGUUGUAGAAUGAUGGCCGAAUGUGAUGUUGUAGUCCACGAUUUUGUCAGUACAGGUCGAACUGGUCGACGAAAUGCCAUGCCAGAUGUUAUGUCGGCGCAGCAUGCUCAAGUCAGUACAGCGGGACUAGCAGAAGUAUUAGAUUCAAUAAACUUUGGGCCAUCUACUUCUGGACAAUCAUGUCAAAGUACCUCUGUCGAAGGAGUUUCUCAAAAAGCUACUAGUUCUUGAUUGAUUUUAUUUAUUAUUAUGGAUUUAAUAUGGUGGCUCAGUUAAGCUGUAUAUUUUUUGAAGUGCCGAAAGUAUUUAUCCUAUGUACUGAUGCCUUUCCGAGUAUUUUGUGAAUUGACUGGCAACUUGAGACCAACAACAUCAAAGUUUCCCCCAGAUUUGA
This is a long non-coding RNA of Actinia tenebrosa (Australian red waratah sea anemone), 565 nucleotides long. RefSeq lists it as uncharacterized. NCBI's taxonomy places the organism in Eukaryota, Metazoa, Cnidaria, Anthozoa, Actiniaria, Actiniidae. The record is from RefSeq and is a predicted model, not a curated record.